Molecule: long non-coding RNA, 899 nt
Organism: Antechinus flavipes (yellow-footed antechinus)
Lineage: Eukaryota; Metazoa; Chordata; Mammalia; Dasyuromorphia; Dasyuridae
Exons: 2
Source: RefSeq, a predicted model, not a curated record
CCCUCACCCCGCCCAUCGCUAGGCUCGGGACGAGCCUUACUCCGCCCACGCUGGGGCCUGGGGCUGGGGGCUGAGGGCGGUCAGGUGCGCUCCGCAGCCUCGAUACCCCAAGAUUUCUUUCAAGAGGAUCAAGAGUGUUCAAUUCCCCACCUUUAACACUACCUAUGGAGGCAGCCAGGUGGUGCAGUGGAUAAAACACUGCCCCUGGAAAAAGGAGAACCUGAGUUCCAAAUCAGCCUCAGACACUGAACACGCCUCAAAACAGGGUUGUGGGGAGAGGCAGAAAAAGACUGUGGGCCAUAGAAUGUUAGAACCAGAAAGGUUCUAGAAGCUGGAUCUUCAUGUUACAGAGACAGUACCUUAAGAGCAGAGAAAAAUGGCAUCUCCCUCAUUCACCAAAUGGUUGAGCCAGGAAUAGAAAGGUCAUAUGGUACUGUGGGACCCACUGAAGCUGGGGGGCAUUAUAGGGGCCCUAAGUUUGUGUCCCAGGGACUAUGUGGGCAAAUCCCUUAACUUGAGAGUCUGGCUCUCCUUGAGAGGAGAUGGACACGGUGUGCAGUGUUGUACGUCCAGGAUCCCAUUAACCUUAGAGUCAGGCCCAAUUACUGCGGGUCUUGAGCCAGAAAGCUGGACACAGUGUGCAGUGUUGUAUGUCCAGAAUCCUGUUAACCUUACAGUCAUGCCAUUUUUUCUGUCAGUGUCUGGGGGUCCUGAGCCAGAAAGCUGAAAGGGAGAAGUGCUUUGUAGAUUGUAAAGAGAACUUACCACUUUUGUUUUCAGGUUUUGGACAGUUAUUUAUUUCCUAUAUGAAAAUAGAAAUUCUAAAAUGUACGUGCAGUAAAGUCACACAAAUAUUCGUUGACAAUAAAACUUGAACAAUGUUCAGUAACAAUAUAGAA